GAGUUUGAUCCUGGCUCAAGAUGAACGCUGGCGGCGUGCUUAACACAUGCAAGUCGAACGGACUCAUAUUGAAACCUAGUGAUUUAUGAGUUAGUGGCGGACGGGUGAGUAACGCGUGGAUAACCUGCCGUAUACCGGGGGAUAACACUUAGAAAUAGGUGCUAAUACCGCAUGAGCGCACAGCUCCGCAUGGGGCGGUGUGAAAAACUCCGGUGGUAUACGAUGGAUCCGCGUCUGAUUAGCCAGUUGGCGGGGUAACGGCCCACCAAAGCGACGAUCAGUAGCCGGCCUGAGAGGGUGAACGGCCACAUUGGGACUGAGACACGGCCCCGACUCCUACGGGAGGCAGCAGUGGGGAAUAUUGCACAAUGGGGGAAACCCUGAUGCAGCGACGCCGCGUGAGUGAAGAAGUAUCUCGGUAUGUAAAGCUCUAUCAGCAGGAAAGAUAAUGACGGUACCUGACUAAGAAGCCCCGGCUAACUACGUGCCAGCAGCCGCGGUAAUACGUAGGGGGCAAGCGUUAUCCGGAUUUACUGGGUGUAAAGGGAGCGUANACGGUUAUGCAAGUCUGAAGUGAAGCCCAAGGCUCAACCAUGGGACUGCUUUGGA
This 609-nucleotide ribosomal RNA is filed under the name uncultured bacterium. Its description in RNAcentral is "bacterial SSU rRNA". It matches the Rfam family "Bacterial small subunit ribosomal RNA", at positions 9 to 630 of the family's 1533-position model. The record is from RNAcentral.